Molecule: ribosomal RNA, 163 nt
Filed under: Osmanthus henryi
Lineage: Eukaryota; Viridiplantae; Streptophyta; Magnoliopsida; Lamiales; Oleaceae
Description: 5.8S ribosomal RNA
Rfam family: 5.8S ribosomal RNA
About the family: 5.8S ribosomal RNA (5.8S rRNA) is a component of the large subunit of the eukaryotic ribosome.
Source: RNAcentral
AAACGACUCUCGGCAACGGAUAUCUUGGCUCUCGCAUCGAUGAAGAACGCAGCAAAAUGUGAUACUUGGUGUAAAUUGCAGAAUCCCGUGAACCAUCGAGUUUUUGAACGCAAGUUGCGCCCGAAGCCAUUAUGCUGAGGGCACGUCAGCCUGGGCGUCACGC